AAAAGGAGACAGAAGAUAUAAGCUUUUAUUAGUCAUUCUUUCCCUUUUUGCUCUCCACACACCUCAGUUGAGACUCUUUGUUACAUCCUGGUAAUUAUAGUUAUCUAGGAGGCUAGGAGAUGCUGACCAACAGAGAAGAGAAAACAGUCCAUUCCAACCAUAGUGACAUAAAGAGUUCAGUUCACACCAGACAUCUUUACAGCAUGUUUCUCUGUUUAGAAACAUACUAGUAUUUAAGGUCUUUUAAUGCAAGCUCAUAACCUGGUCUUUUCCUUUCUAUUUCAUUUCUCUCUACUCCUUGUUUAUCUGUUUCUG
Non-coding RNA from Choloepus hoffmanni (Hoffmann's two-fingered sloth), 315 nucleotides. Lineage: Eukaryota; Metazoa; Chordata; Mammalia; Pilosa; Megalonychidae. The record is from Rfam.